RNAcentral lists this non-coding RNA (223 nucleotides) under Streptantibioticus cattleyicolor. RNAcentral also lists the same sequence under 1 other name. The record is from RNAcentral. Lineage: Bacteria; Bacillati; Actinomycetota; Actinomycetes; Kitasatosporales; Streptomycetaceae.
GUACAGUGAGCGGGCCGUGGUGUUCGGGAAUACCGGUGACAGGCCCUCGUCAGGGGGUCCCAGACCGGAGCGGCCCUCGCCACUGUGAUCGGGGAGUUCCCGUCCCGUUCCGCGCGCCGGCCACGGCGCGGGGAACCACUGGCCGUUCGCGCGGCCGGGAAGGCAGGGCCGGGCGCGAGCACCACCCGUCAGCCAGGAGACCGGCCACGGCAUCUCACGAAGA